This 98-nucleotide signal recognition particle RNA is filed under the name Sphingomonas sabuli. RNAcentral's name for it is "Bacterial small signal recognition particle RNA". It matches the Rfam family "Bacterial small signal recognition particle RNA". Rfam says of the family: The signal recognition particle (SRP) is a universally conserved ribonucleoprotein involved in the co-translational targeting of proteins to membranes. Archaeal SRP consists of a 7S RNA and homologues of the eukaryotic SRP19 and SRP54 proteins. Lineage: Bacteria; Pseudomonadati; Pseudomonadota; Alphaproteobacteria; Sphingomonadales; Sphingomonadaceae. The record is from Rfam by way of RNAcentral.
CGCGGGAGCCGGGCGGACGGGGCUGUCGCCAACCUGGUCAGGUCCGGAAGGAAGCAGCCACAACGAUUCCGUCCCGGGUCGUUCCGGUUCCCACCCCA